AAGACUUUAAGUUAAAUAAACUAAAAACCUUCAAAGUUUUAAAUAGACAUAUUCUAAGUCUUG
Molecule: transfer RNA, 63 nt
Filed under: Metaphire tosaensis
Lineage: Eukaryota; Metazoa; Annelida; Clitellata; Crassiclitellata; Megascolecidae
Description: tRNA-Trp
Source: RNAcentral